Molecule: long non-coding RNA, 222 nt
Filed under: Elaeis guineensis (African oil palm)
Lineage: Eukaryota; Viridiplantae; Streptophyta; Magnoliopsida; Arecales; Arecaceae
Description: long non-coding RNA (EGUI_LNC047361)
Source: RNAcentral
CUAGAGGGUUGGAAGCUAACAUAAUGAACAAUAGAGAGCAAAGAUUAUAAUUGGAUGUUUGUACUUAUUUCAAUAAUUUGCUUUAAAAAUUUUUAGAUACAAAAAGAGACUCUCACUAUUUUAUCAGAUCUCCCACACUCUCUGGGUAGGAAAAUGAAAAUCCAAAUGCGAUAAUUGAGUUUCUAGUGGGUGCUACGGUCUCACUGAUGUCGUGCACCUCAC